UGGUUCUGGCACCGAUGAAGAACGCAGCGAAAUGCGAUAAGUAAUGUGAAUUGCAGAAUUCCGCGAAUCAUCGAAUCUUUGAACGCACAUUGCGCCCGCUAGCUCUCUAGCGGGCAUGCCUGUUCGAGCGUCAUUUCACCGAAAGAGCCCCCCCCUCCUGGGCUUGCGUUGGGACGCCACGGCCCCUCUCAGGGCCGUGUGUCCCGAAAUACAGCGGCGGACCCCCCCGAACCUCAGCGUAGUAAUCACGUCGCUUCAGGGCCUCGGCGCGGGUGGCUUGCCCCUAAACUCGGGCGGUGGGCGCUGCGGCGGCCCCCUCCGACAUCACUGGUUGACCUCGGAUCAGGUAGGAAUACCCGCUGA
RNAcentral lists this unclassified non-coding RNA (363 nucleotides) under uncultured fungus. Its description in RNAcentral is "partial contains 5.8S ribosomal RNA and internal transcribed spacer 2". The stretch from base 1 to 133 matches the Rfam family "5.8S ribosomal RNA", at positions 22 to 154 of the family's 154-position model. The record is from RNAcentral. Lineage: Eukaryota; Fungi.